UUAUAUCGAAGUUGUGCUAUUGAUUCAACUGUAGCAAUUUAAUUUCUAGUUAUGCUGGGGCAUUUUGUAGCUAUGCUCUCACUAGCCCGUUUUUUCACUCACCAUAUUAGUCUAUCGGUGUUCUGAGACUUAUAAGGUAGUGUUUCUCUGUCUUUGAGAUCCUUUCAUUUAGCUACCGAUAGUCUUUCAGGUAUACAGUUAGCAUUUGGUUCUAGACCAG
This is a non-coding RNA of Pelobates cultripes (western spadefoot toad), 220 nucleotides long. The record is from the annotation of a GenBank genome assembly. Lineage: Eukaryota; Metazoa; Chordata; Amphibia; Anura; Pelobatidae.